UUUUGCAGAAAAAAAUAAAAAAUACAUAAAAAUUUCUCAUCUACUUGUUAUACCUUCUUCACCUACUAAACCACUCUAACUUAUCCAAAUUUUUAAGUUUUUCAUAAUUUUUCUGCUAUCCGAAGUGCCAAAACAUCAUAUGGGGCGACCGUCCAGCCUUGACUUUUGUUAGGACAACUGGUUUAAAAACACUUUAAAUCAACUUAAAUAUAUCCCUUUUCCUAGUUGGCAUAAUUUCAAACAUGUUUUACAUCCAUUGACAAAACUAUAAAGCAUUUGCACAUAUAUUUCUAUCAUGAUAUACAAACAAAUGUUGUCCGAAUUAUGUUGAUUCUAUCCAUAUCAUCCGGGGCGACCAUCAAAAAACCACUAUUUUGGGACCUUUAUUUUGAACAACAUCUCAAGGAUGGGAUAUUGCAUCAGCCAGACACAAGUGAAGACCCCCUGGAAACAACUGUAAGAUGGCACGAUUAACAAGCAAAGAGAAGACUGCUCGUUAUAGACAGAAAGUCAACUCCGACCCUGCAGCAAGAGCAGAGUAUCUUGCAAGGAAAAGAGAGAGGUAAAGAAAACCCCAGAUGGGAUUGGUGGGGCAAUAAAAAGAGAAGCAGAUCGCUUUGUCCAACGAGGUGGUGAACUUCAGACACCACAGCAACUCUAUGAGAUGCUGAACACAAGAUUAGGCUCAAGCAUCACACACUAUUGGGUAAACAGAGAAAGCAUUGAAAAGUGUGAUGAGCUAAUUCCUGACAAUUUGGAGGCUGUGAAGGGCACCUUUAAAAUACACCAGGUUUGGUCUUCCCAGCCUUCGCAGAUCACUCACAGGACUGUUUCAUGCUUCUGUAGGAAAACAGAGAAGAGUCCAUGCCCUUGUUACAAGCCCGUAACAGUAGACCUGAGAGUGAGACGCACUGUGUGCAACACUAAGAAUCCCCCAAGCUCUCCUCCUCAACCACCUAGGGAACAAGAAAACCUAGAUCUUUGUGGCAAGUUUGUUGUUGUCAUUUAUGAUGAAAAGCCUUAUGUUGGUCAAGUGCUUGCGGUUGAGGGAGAAGAAGUGCAGGUCAAUUGUAUGCUACAAUCUGGUGACAAAAACCUGUUCGUGUGGCCACAAACUGUAGAUUCAAUUUUCUACGACAGAAAAGAUGUGCAUGCUGUGAUCUCUGAGCCUGAGCCAGCAACAUCACGCUUCUCAAAGCUGACUCUCCAAGAUUGGGUGAAGUUCAGUAAUACCUCAGCUUAGAGAAAUGCAAGUUGUGUUCAUCACUGCCUUAUGUGGCUAAAUGGGUCCAGAAAAAGAAAUUAUUUGUGAUAUUUGAAUGUUGAAAGGUUAAUUGAGACGCAAGUAGUGUUAGUCCCUGUCCAAUGAAUCAAAAAGGUUCCAAAAAAGAGAUUCUUUACUUUACUACUUCUUUACAAGUUCUUGAGUUCUUGAAGCAUUUAAUGUGUGUUGCAAUAAAAUUGUUUAAAUGUUAAUGUCCUUCUGAUUUGUUAUAUUUAAAUGUUGAAAUGUUAUUUCAAUAAAAAGAGUUAAAUUUUAUUUCGUCUUGAACUCUUUUGUGUACAUUUUAACUGAAAUUUUUAUACCUGUGGUUUUCUUAUCAUUUGGGGCGACCCCAUGUCAUGUGGGGUAACCAACAAAUGGCAAUAAUUACACUAAAUUCAUAACCAAAUAUCCAUCAGUUUAGCCUCAAAUAUUAAUCAGUGUUAUGCUAUUGCUGAAUGUGUAAUAUCUGUAUAAAUGCUAAUUCAGUUUUUUUGCUUUUGAAGUAAAAAUCAGUAUUGUAACUGGAUUACGAGGGAGACUCUGAUAUUAUAGAAUAAACUUGUAAAAUAAUGGUAUUCAUAAAAUGAAAGGGCACUAAAGUUUGUCUUUCUUCAUCAGUUUAU
Molecule: long non-coding RNA, 1890 nt
Organism: Puntigrus tetrazona (Sumatra barb)
Lineage: Eukaryota; Metazoa; Chordata; Actinopteri; Cypriniformes; Cyprinidae
Exons: 2
Source: RefSeq, a predicted model, not a curated record